Molecule: ribosomal RNA, 359 nt
Filed under: uncultured bacterium
Lineage: Bacteria
Description: partial 16S ribosomal RNA
Rfam family: Bacterial small subunit ribosomal RNA
Source: RNAcentral
CCUACGGGUGGCAGCAGUGAGGAAUAUUGGUCAAUGGGCGGAACCCUGAACCAGCCACGUAGCGUGCGGGAUGAAGGCCCUACGGGUCGUAAACCGCUUUUGCACGGGGAUAACACCCUCCACUUGUGGAGGUCUGCAGGUACCGUGCGUAUAAGGGCCGGCAAAUUCCGUGCCAGCAGCCGCGGUAAUACGGGGGGCACGCGCGUUAUCCGGAUUCAUUGGGCUAAAAGGGAGCGUAGGCGGGCGUUCAAGUCACCGGUAACAGCGCGCGGCUCAACCGCGCCCCGCAGUGGAAACUGGACGCCUGGAGUUCACAACGGGCAGGCGGAAUUCGUGGUGUAGCGGUGAAAUGGAUAGAG